CGGGGUGAGUAACGCGUGGAGAACCUGCCGUAUACUGGGGGAUAACACUUAGAAAUAGGUGCUAAUACCGCAUAAGCGCACAGCUUCGCAUGAAGCAGUGUGAAAAACUCCGGUGGUAUACGAUGGAUCCGCGUCUGAUUAGCUGGUUGGCGGGGUAAAGGCCCACCAAGGCGACGAUCAGUAGCCGGCCUGAGAGGGUGAACGGCCACAUUGGGACUGAGACACGGCCCAAACUCCUACGGAAGGCAGCAG
RNAcentral lists this ribosomal RNA (252 nucleotides) under uncultured bacterium. RNAcentral describes it as "partial 16S ribosomal RNA". It matches the Rfam family "Bacterial small subunit ribosomal RNA", at positions 100 to 354 of the family's 1533-position model. The record is from RNAcentral.